GUGAGUCAUCGAAUCUUUGAACGCAACUUGCGCUCUCUGGUAUUCCGGAGAGCAUGCCUGUUUGAGUGUCAUGAAAUCUCAACCAUUAGGGUUUCUUAAUGGCUUGGAUUUGGGUGUUGCCAGUCUCUGGCUCGCCUUAAAGGAGUUAGCGAGUUUAACAAUGUCCUCUGGCGUAAUAAGUUUCGCUGGAAAGGCUUGUGAAGUUUGCUUCUAAUCGUCUUCGGACAAUUACUUUGACUCUGGCCUCAAAUCAGGUAGGACUACCCGCUGAACUUAAGCAUAUCAAUAAGCGGAGGA
RNAcentral lists this unclassified non-coding RNA (297 nucleotides) under Apiotrichum sp. Its description in RNAcentral is "partial contains 5.8S ribosomal RNA, internal transcribed spacer 2, and large subunit ribosomal RNA". The stretch from base 1 to 71 matches the Rfam family "5.8S ribosomal RNA", at positions 84 to 154 of the family's 154-position model. Lineage: Eukaryota; Fungi; Basidiomycota; Tremellomycetes; Trichosporonales; Trichosporonaceae. The record is from RNAcentral.